UUUAUGGAGAGUUUGAUCCUGGCUCAGGAUGAACGCUGGCGGCGUGCCUAAUACAUGCAAGUCGAGCGAACGGACGAGAAGCUUGCUUCUCUGAUGUUAGCGGCGGACGGGUGAGUAACACGUGGAUAACCUACCUAUAAGACUGGGAUAACUUCGGGAAACCGGAGCUAAUACCGGAUAAUAUUUUGAACCGCAUGGUUCAAAAGUGAAAGACGGUCUUGCUGUCACUUAUAGAUGGAUCCGCGUUGCAUUAGCUAGUUGGUAAGGUAACGGCUUACCAAGGCAACGAUGCAUAGCCGACCUGAGAGGGUGAUCGGCCACACUGGAACUGAGACACGGUCCAGACUCCUACGGGAGGCAGCAGUAGGGAAUCUUCCGCAAUGGGCGAAAGCCUGACGGAGCAACGCCGCGUGAGUGAUGAAGGUCUUCGGAUCGUAAAACUCUGUUAUUAGGGAAGAACAUAUGUGUAAGUAACUGUGCACAUCUUGACGGUACCUAAU
RNAcentral lists this ribosomal RNA (500 nucleotides) under Staphylococcus aureus. RNAcentral's name for it is "bacterial SSU rRNA". It matches the Rfam family "Bacterial small subunit ribosomal RNA", at positions 1 to 483 of the family's 1533-position model. The record is from RNAcentral. Lineage: Bacteria; Bacillati; Bacillota; Bacilli; Caryophanales; Staphylococcaceae.